Molecule: transfer RNA, 72 nt
Filed under: Gloeocapsa sp. PCC 73106
Lineage: Bacteria; Bacillati; Cyanobacteriota; Cyanophyceae; Chroococcidiopsidales; Chroococcidiopsidaceae
Rfam family: tRNA
About the family: Transfer RNA (tRNA) molecules are approximately 80 nucleotides in length.
Source: Rfam by way of RNAcentral
GGGUUACUAGCUUAAUGGUAGAGCAAUAGACUCUUAAUCUAACGGUUCGGGGUUCGAGCCCCCGGUAACCCA